This 468-nucleotide ribosomal RNA is filed under the name uncultured bacterium. RNAcentral describes it as "partial 16S ribosomal RNA". It matches the Rfam family "Bacterial small subunit ribosomal RNA", at positions 28 to 507 of the family's 1533-position model. The record is from RNAcentral.
GACGAACGCUGGCGGCGUGCUUAACACAUGCAAGUCGAACGGAAAGGCCCUGCUUUUGUGGGGUGCUCGAGUGGCGAACGGGUGAGUAACACGUGAGUAACCUGCCCUUGACUUUGGGAUAACUUCAGGAAACUGGGGCUAAUACCGGAUAGGAGCUCCUGCUGCAUGGUGGGGGUUGGAAAGUUUCGGCGGUUGGGGAUGGACUCGCGGCUUAUCAGCUUGUUGGUUGGGUAGUGGCUUACCAAGGCUUUGACGGGUAGCCGGCCUGAGAGGGUGACCGGCCACAUUGGGCCUGAGAUACGGCCCAGACUGCUACGGGAGGCAGCAGUGGGGAAUAUUGCGCAAUGGGCGGAAGCCUGAUGCAGCAACGCCGCGUGCGGGAUGACGGCCUUCGGGUUGUAAACCGCUUUCGCCUGUGACGAAGCGUGAGUGACGGUAAUGGGUAAAGAAGCACCGGCUAACUACGUG